UAAGUCCCGCAACGAGCGCAACCCUCAUCUUUAGUUGCCAGCAGUUCGGCUGGGCACUCUAGAGAAACUGCCUGGGAUGACCAGGAGGAAGGCGAGGAUGACGUCAAGUCCUCAUGGCCCUUAUGGGCUGGGCUACACACGUGCUACAAUGGCGGUUACAAUGGGAAGCAAUAGGGUGACCUGGAGCUAAUCCCCAAAGGCCGUCUCAGUUCGGAUUGUUCUCUGCAACUCGAGAACAUGAAGUCGGAAUCGCUAGUAAUCGUGGAUCAGCACGCCACGGUGAAUACGUUCCCGGGCCUU
Molecule: ribosomal RNA, 300 nt
Filed under: uncultured bacterium
Lineage: Bacteria
Description: bacterial SSU rRNA
Rfam family: Bacterial small subunit ribosomal RNA
Source: RNAcentral